Non-coding RNA from Bactrocera oleae (olive fruit fly), 1369 nucleotides. Lineage: Eukaryota; Metazoa; Arthropoda; Insecta; Diptera; Tephritidae. The record is from RefSeq and is a predicted model, not a curated record.
UUUUUCGAAGUUAUAUUUUUCGAUGUUCUAUCAUCUGGAAUUACAAAUUAGUACUCAAAAAGAUUUCAUGUAACAUUUGCUCCUUCUCUAUUUAUUAACAUUCUCUGCUCUGGUAAUGUGAUAUAUUCCCCUACUGACAAACAGAUGACGCUAAAUCUGUGGCGCACAAAAUUUCGCAUGAUUCGAUUCAAAUUUCUUUAGUGACUAAAUUUACAAGCGUCAAACUUGUGUGACGAAAUCUUACUAAAUCAAAAAGAUUAGUGAGAUUAUCUACUCAACAACCUAAAUCAUGUGACUAAGUGUCGGUCGGAACAUGGUGUAAGAUUGAACACUAAAUUAUGGUGAUGUGUAAUUGGUAUAAAAGAAAAGUGCGAGCUCAGCAGUGGUAAGUGGAUUGGCAAAACAGCUGACUCCAAUGUUUUAUUUCCAUGAUGUUCUCAUUGAAAUAUCCAGCAUUGUAUACAUUUUAUUUCUACAUAUAUAAGUUUAGAUUUAUACAAUGAAAUCCAGUAAAUAGAAUCUAGCUGUUAUCAAAGCACACAACCUAGCAUAUUAAUCCUUGAAUGCUUCGAAAUAUUUGAAUGAAUACGUUGGUCUUAAUAGUAUUGCAUUCGUUAUAUAAUAUUAUUUCAGUCGUAAAAGUUCUUAUACAAAGUUGGUGUUUUUGCUAGCAUUUAACACAGUUAUAGAUAUUGUCGGUUUAAUAAAAUCUGGGGCAGUAUGUGUAGUAAAUUUAAGAAGGUUACGCAUUGCAUAUUUGAUAUGGACGGUUUAUUACUAGAUACGGAAAAAUUGUAUUCGCAAGCUACUCAGGAAAUUCUGGAUCCGUACGGUAAAACUUACACUUGGGACGUUAAAGUAAGUGUUAUAGGGUUGCAGACCCAGCAAGUUGCUGAAGCUAUAGUUGCUGCUUAUAAAUUACCUAUAAGCUGGGAAGAAUAUACACAAAGACAACGGGAGUGAACAGAAAUUUUAAUGACAGAAGCUGAAUUAAUGCCAGGCAAAUAAACAUUUCAUUGAAAAUGUGAUGGCCUUUCUUUAUACGCUCUGCAUGGAUAUAGCUCAUAAUACCGUGGAUUGGCGUCUACGUGAUCAAUGACUUAAGCGCCAAGAAACUUUUGAGGGUUUGAAAACCUAGUGCUCACUAGUCGUUAACUCACGUUGGAUUUACGGAUAUAAGUAGAUGCAACAGAUUUAUGCAACGAAGUACAAGGUAUUGGCGGAAAAAUUGCUCAUUAAUAAACAACCACUGGACUUUGAAAUUAUAUUUGUUCAAAUGAAUUAAUAGAUAUCGCUUUAAAUUUAAUUACGGAAAUGUGUGAAGAAAGAUUUACAGGAACAAAUUAAAGACAACAAAAUAUUUAAAUAA